RNAcentral lists this ribosomal RNA (443 nucleotides) under uncultured bacterium. RNAcentral describes it as "partial 16S ribosomal RNA". It matches the Rfam family "Bacterial small subunit ribosomal RNA", at positions 338 to 795 of the family's 1533-position model. The record is from RNAcentral.
CCUACGGGAGGCAGCAGUGGGGAAUAUUGCACAAUGGGGGGAACCCUGAUGCAGCAACGCCGCGUGAAGGAAGACGGUUUUCGGAUUGUAAACUUCUAUCAAUAGGGAAGAAAGAAAUGACGGUACCUAAAUAAGAAGCCCCGGCUAACUACGUGCCAGCAGCCGCGGUAAUACGUAGGGGGCAAGCGUUAUCCGGAAUUACUGGGUGUAAAGGGAGAGUAGGCGGCAAGGUAAGCGAUAUGUGAAAGCCUUAGGCUUAACCUGAGGAUUGCAUAACGAACUAUCUAGCUAGAGUACAGGAGAGGAAAGCGGAAUUCCUAGUGUAGCGGUGAAAUGCGUAGAUAUUAGGAAGAACACCAGUGGCGAAGGCGGCUUUCUGGACUGAAACUGACGCUGAGGCUCGAAAGCGUGGGGAGCGAACAGGAUUAGAUACCCUUGUAGUC